ACGAAGGGGGCUAGCGUUGUUCGGAUUUACUGGGCGUAAAGCGUAUGUAGGCGGCAUAUCAAGUCAGGGGUGAAAUCCCGGGGCUCAACCUCGGAACUGCCUUUGAUACUGAUACGCUAGAGUGUGAUAGAGGAUAGUGGAAUUUCCAGUGUAGGGGUAGAAUCCGUAGAUAUUGGAAGGAACACCAGUGGCGAAAGCGGCUAUCUGGAUCACAACUGACGCUAAAGUACGAAAGCGUGGGGAGCAAACAG
Molecule: ribosomal RNA, 251 nt
Filed under: uncultured prokaryote
Description: partial 16S rRNA
Rfam family: Bacterial small subunit ribosomal RNA
Source: RNAcentral